AUGCCUCCGCGGCGAGACGGCGCGCCGACGCCGACCUCCUCGCCACCGCCGAGCCCCGGCGGCACGCCCUCCGCUUCCAAGGGCGCGACUCCCCCACCCUCGUCUCCGCACCCCGCCUCCAAGGGCCCGUCCGCUCCGGGUGGCACCGGCACCGACGAUGAGGCCGCUGCUACCCCUCCCUCAUCUCCGCGCUGCGGCGGAAGCCCCCCCGUCGCCUCGAGAUCCCCAGCAUCGUUCUCCUUCCCCGCCUCUCCACGGGUGCACUGCGGCGGCCGCGGAAGCCCCCCCACGGCCUCGCCAUCCCCAACACCAGCUUCCUCUCCAGGGGUUGGCGUCUCCCUUGUAGAGCUGGUGGCGACCGGCGACGGCAAGCCUGCGGCGGGCGCGCACGAGGAGGAAGGGGAGGUGGAGAAGGCGAUGGAAGACCCCGUCAAGACGACCGCGCGCUCUGACCCGGAGAAGCAGCUCUCAUCUGCUCCGGGUGGUACCGGCACUGGCGACGCCACCGCCGCUACUCCACCCUCAUCUCUGCGCUGCUGCGGAAUCCCCUCCGCCGCCUCGACGCCCCCCGCAUCAGCCUCCCGACCUACCUCUCCACGGGUUCACUGCGGCGGAAGCACCCCCAUGACCAUCAGUUCUGACGCCGUCUCUGAGUCGGGAAAACAGAGCCUGCACGAGGUGGACCUUGAUCCGACGGAUAGGAAGCCGAGCCAGCAUAAGCUUGCAGAAGAGGCGGAGGAGGUGGAGCAACGGGAGAAUGUUGCGACGCAGAGAGGAAAACAACUUGAGGAGCGGGAGACACUCUUGAGGCAGACGCAUUACGCUGUUCCGCAAGGUCAUGCAGGAGUGAGCAACUGGGUGGAGAAGGAGGAGGAGGAGGAGAAGAGGAAGAGGAAGGGGAAAGAGAAGGAGGAUGAGGGUGAGGAGAAUGAGCAGGAGCAGGGGAAGGGAGAACAUAAUCAUAGCUGUCCUGGGUCUGGAUUAUUUCCUUGGACUGCAGAGCUACCCAGGGACGAUGCAUUGGCAGCACUGAAGCAACAACUGCUUAUGCCCCAACAGUCAAAAUUAAUGCCCACUCCGUCGGAUACGCCCAAUGCAGCAACAGCUGAGAUUACGGCAAUGACCAUGAGGACUUCCACACCCAAGGCCAAGGUAUACCAGUUUGAGACUCGUUUUAUGGCUCCCAGCCUUGAUCAGAGUACUUCUGAAAUCAACGAUCUUGAGAUGGUGAAAGUUGGCCUCCUUGUUCUUACAAGAUUGAGCGAGAACUUGCACGAGAGGAGGUUAUAUUCAACCAUUCAUGAAGUACUGAAAGCUGCAGUUGCUACAUACAAUACCAAUCAGCUUAUGACAGAGCGAGAUCGUGUGAGGUGGGAGAUCAGAAAGAUACUGACAGAUCAGACACAGAACCUUGGAAUUGCCAUUGAUGACGUCUCCAUUGUAAGCCUGAGCUUUGAAAAGGUGUUUACUCAGGACAUUCAAGAGAAAGAGGUGACUACACAAGAAGACAGGCAAGGUAACAGGACUACACAAGAAGCUGGGCAAGAUAACAGGAGUGCAAUGAUCAGGUCACAGGACGACGACCAGAUCUGGAACAAGAGGCAGAUUGGUUAUAUUUUUGAUCUAGGUACUGCGCUGGGCAUUAUAUUUUUGAUUCGACCCUGGUUGCCUAGUAGCUAUGACCGAUGGAUAAUGGCUGCAUUUGCUGCCGUUUGGGGGGCGGGCAGUGUGGGCUUGCCCAUUGGAAUGUUUGGCACCUCCAGGGUUGAAAAAAAUUGCAGUCGGCAUGUAGGGCGAUUCAUCUCUCUUUCCUUCUCACUGCUUGUCAUCCAUGCAAUCUACAUCCUGACACUAAAUGUCGCCGGCACUCCACCAACCCCAUCUGUGUCGUCAUUUGGAAUCACCAACGGUGAUGGUGAUGGUGAUGCUGACUGGUGGACAACUGCUGGCUUCAUUGUGAUUGCGGCUCUAGUGUCAUUUGGGCACCUAUGGUCCUGGAUAAGAGGGUGUUGUACAGGUGGUGACAGGGACAUGUUGCCUUGA
This 2043-nucleotide ribosomal RNA is filed under the name Triticum aestivum (bread wheat). RNAcentral describes it as "partial small subunit ribosomal RNA". The record is from RNAcentral. Lineage: Eukaryota; Viridiplantae; Streptophyta; Magnoliopsida; Poales; Poaceae.